Molecule: ribosomal RNA, 465 nt
Filed under: Vreelandella stevensii
Lineage: Bacteria; Pseudomonadati; Pseudomonadota; Gammaproteobacteria; Oceanospirillales; Halomonadaceae
Description: partial 16S ribosomal RNA
Rfam family: Bacterial small subunit ribosomal RNA
Source: RNAcentral
CCUACGGGAGGCUGCAGUGGGGAAUAUUGGACAAUGGGGGCAACCCUGAUCCAGCCAUGCCGCGUGUGUGAAGAAGGCCCUCGGGUUGUAAAGCACUUUCAGUGAGGAAGAACGCCUGGUGGUUAAUACCCAUCAGGAAAGACAUCACUCACAGAAGAAGCACCGGCUAACUCCGUGCCAGCAGCCGCGGUAAUACGGAGGGUGCGAGCGUUAAUCGGAAUUACUGGGCGUAAAGCGCGCGUAGGUAGCUUGAUAAGCCGGUUGUGAAAGCCCCGGGCUCAACCUGGGAACGGCAUCCGGAACUGUCAAGCUAGAGUGCAGGAGAGGAAGGUAGAAUUCCCGGUGUAGCGGUGAAAUGCGUAGAGAUCGGGAGGAAUACCAGUGGCGAAGGCGGCCUUCUGGACUGACACUGACACUGAGGUGCGAAAGCGUGGGUAGCAAACAGGAUUAGAUACCCCGGUAGUC